CAGGGGAAUUUUCUCCGCUUUCCUUCCCAUCUGACAUGCACUCCACAAGACUGUAAAACGCAGCUCUAGAGCUCAAAGCGUGGCAGCCUGGGCCAACAUCCCCAAGAUUUGUUGUAGUGCAAUGGGGUGUCUUCUCUAGGUGCGAAGGGGAGGAGGCCAUGCAGUAGGGACUGGAACAGUGGACAACUGGAACUAGUGACAGCAUGAAGUUCAACAAAAGAAAAUGCUGGGUUCUGCACCUGGGAUGGAGUAACACCAGAUACAGACCAAUUACCUGGGUGUGUGUGUGUGCACUGAGAGGGAAAUUCACUUUGCUAAAGGUGUCAAUAACUGAACCGGAAUGCAAAGCAAUGGAAGUAGUCUCAUUCUGUGGGUCUAUAUGUAAAUAAAAGUCACUGGAUUUGGAGAUUAAAUUAUCACCUCUGCUUGCCCUGUAAAUAAACGGAGAUCUGCCUUCCUCACCUCUGAGCACAUCAGGAGACAGUGGUGGCACACACCUCCAGGUUCUUCAUCAGCAGUGUUUGCACAUCAGAGAUUGCUGCCUCGGG
This 548-nucleotide long non-coding RNA is filed under the name Gallus gallus (chicken). RNAcentral's name for it is "lncRNA (ENSGALG00010004897.1)". The record is from RNAcentral. Lineage: Eukaryota; Metazoa; Chordata; Aves; Galliformes; Phasianidae.